GAUGAAGAACGUAGCGAAAUGCGAUAAGUAAUGUGAAUUGCAGAAUUCAGUGAAUCAUCGAAUCUUUGAACGCACCUUGCACCCUUUGGUAUUCCGAAGGGUAUGCUCGUUUGAGUGUCAUUGUACUCUCACACUUCUAAUUCCUUUCGGGAUUGGGAGCGGUGGACUUGGGUGUUGCUGCUUUAGUUGUGGCUCACCUCAAAUAAGUUAGUGCAACUCUUGGUUGGACAUAGUACGGCGUGAUAAGUGUCUUCGCCGGCGCCUCUGUAAGGAGGGUGGCCGAUCGGGAGCUCUGUGCUUCAAACCGUCCUCGGACAAUCUUUGACAACUUGACCUCAAAUCGAGUAGGACUACCCGCUGAACUUAAGCAUAUCAAUAAGCGGAGGA
This 387-nucleotide unclassified non-coding RNA is filed under the name soil metagenome. Its description in RNAcentral is "partial contains 5.8S ribosomal RNA, internal transcribed spacer 2, and large subunit ribosomal RNA". The stretch from base 1 to 120 matches the Rfam family "5.8S ribosomal RNA", at positions 35 to 154 of the family's 154-position model. The record is from RNAcentral.